AAGUCACAGUUGACCAACACCUUCCUUCAAGUUUCCUUUGUGAAUCCCCUCUAUAAAAGCCUCUCAUUAAGCAUUCUUCAUACACAAAACUAACUUCUCUAUCAGUAUCAAUAUUAUACCUACAUCUCAACUCACAUUACAAUCACUGGUGCAUACAACUAGUCUAAGUAAAUUUGGAAGAAUAUGGCUAUUGUAUUGGAAGAAGUAGAUACAUUGGUCAAAAUGACCCUUUUUGUUGUAGUUCAAGCUUUGGUCUACUUUAUUCUCACCAAUUCAUCUGAUGUUUUCUCAACCAAAAAGAUGAUCAGGUCUUUAAGCUUCAAGCAGCCAGGUCGUAUUAGCCUACGUCGUAUGCUUUCUACUAUAUCUGAGGUCCCAGAAAGCGUUGAAGAAUCUACAUCUUCAAUCCAAGAUUAUCAGAGCAUCAACCAAAGUAUAGUUUCUUGAGUUUUAAUAGCUAUACACAGAGCUAAUACCAAAGGGACAAAUGUCUUCUGGUUUGAUUGUUGUGAUUUCAUUGUAUUUAUGUAACAGUAAGACAUUUAUACAAGCAAUUAUUUGAUUCUUUUAUGAUGUCUUAUAUGUAUGAAUUUGGUAUGUAACAGAAUUCAGACUGAAGUCGAAACAAUAAACUAGCAACAACGACUGAUAACACAACUGAAUUAGCUUCUCAACCAUAGGCACGCAACUUCACUUCUAUUGAAGAUUUUCAUCAUUGAUAAUUUCUGUAUUCAGUUAACAAAUCUGUCUCGAUAUUAUUUAAGGCAUUUUGCUAGCCAGGCUUCAUAAAAUCUGGUCAGCUGAUAAGCUCACCUAACUAGAUUACCACUAUAUGCCAGAGCCAAUACAAUAGAAUGAAAGCCAAAAUCAACCUUAAGGUUUUGAUCUCUGCCUCAUAAUUGGUUACUGACUUCCAUAAUCUGCAUUUUUCAUAUCUAUGCAGCUUUAUGGUGCCUGCUUACGGAUUUGAUCAGAUUGAAAUUCCUGUAAAAGCUUAAUGGACUGGUGAUAGAGAUUAAGAUCAAUGCCAUCUACAU
This 1037-nucleotide long non-coding RNA is filed under the name Daucus carota (carrot). RNAcentral's name for it is "long non-coding RNA (DCAR_LNC006416)". Lineage: Eukaryota; Viridiplantae; Streptophyta; Magnoliopsida; Apiales; Apiaceae. The record is from RNAcentral.